Maniola jurtina (meadow brown) is the source of this 1048-nucleotide long non-coding RNA. RefSeq lists it as uncharacterized. The transcript is spliced from 2 exons. Lineage: Eukaryota; Metazoa; Arthropoda; Insecta; Lepidoptera; Nymphalidae. The record is from RefSeq and is a predicted model, not a curated record.
GUGUGCGUCACGGGUCAAUAUGGAAUUUUUCGAAGACAAUUUAAUAGAAUUAGUUCGCAACUAUCCUUUUUUUCUUUAUAUAAAAAUAAAGACAAAAAACAUAAAAGUUUGAUAGUUAAAGAAAAUUGCUGGAGGGAGAUAGCUGAGAAGUUGAAUAAAACACGUCUACCUUGGUAGCUGCGGCAAAAUCAACUGACCACCACCACCGCAGGGACGCUAAAUGCUGCGUCGUGACGCUGCGUUGCGGCGCAUACCGCAGCGUUGUGCAUCACGAUCACCAGACCAAAGCUUAAGCGAGUAUUAACUUCGAUUUAAUAAUGUUAUUAAUAAUCAUGGAGUAACCUUGGACAAACAAUACAUUCCUUACUCUGGGAUUAACACUUGCGUUAUGGCAACCCACUUUUUUUAAAAGUAAAAAGAAUGAGUCAAUGAAUGAAAUUGUGACAAUAAUGACAGUGACAGACAAUAUUUAGACUGUGGAUCUAUCUCUAUGCUGUGGACAAUAUUUUGAAUUUGACAAAUGACAAUUUAGGAGUUGGGACGCGGUUUUCAGUUUCCACUUUCCAGUUUUCACUUUUCUGGCUUUGCUGCGUUGAUAAAUAGUUUAUUUCGUUGAGUUUAUUUUUAAUACAAAAUAAGUUUCAAGUUUUGUAGAAAUCGUUUUAUAUUUGUUUGUUUAAUAUAUUUUUAUAUGUUUUAUAAACAAAAACGCUGUCGCUCCCUCAACUGGGAUGAAGAAGAAAAGCUUUUAUUUCGCAGAGUGGUUAAAGACUACGCACACAUAAUUGAAAACAAGUCCCUGGACAAUAAUACCAACAAAAAAAAACUGAAGCGUGGGACGAAAUCCACAAAAAGUAAGUAUGCUUGGUAUUCUACUUUUAAUUGAAUAUGUUGCAGAAUUUCAGCAUAAUUCUCCACAUUUAUAAAGCAAAAAUUCAUUUUAAUAUUAAUAUCAUCCCUUAUUUCAUUUUCUGUACUAGGUUUAAUGAAUUAAAUGGAAGACAGCGGCAAUUAAGUCAACUGAAAAUUCAGUGGAAGACGAUGAAGA